AAUGAAGUGCCUGAAAAAAGGAUUAUUUUGAUAGAAUAAAUUAUGUAGUUCACUACCUUCAUUA
RNAcentral lists this transfer RNA (64 nucleotides) under Cucujoidea sp. 43 KM-2017. RNAcentral's name for it is "tRNA-Ile". Lineage: Eukaryota; Metazoa; Arthropoda; Insecta; Coleoptera. The record is from RNAcentral.